Molecule: long non-coding RNA, 770 nt
Filed under: Zonotrichia albicollis (white-throated sparrow)
Lineage: Eukaryota; Metazoa; Chordata; Aves; Passeriformes; Passerellidae
Description: lncRNA (ENSZALG00000005939.1)
Source: RNAcentral
GGGAUGUGUCUGGGGAGAUGUUUGGCCAUGGGGCAGGUGGGAUCCAUGUUCCCAUCCCCAUUCCUGGUGUUUCCCUGCAUGAGGAGGUGCUCCAGGCACCUGAUUUCCACAGAGCUGAAUAAUGGAGCUCUUAUCAGCUCACCCUGACUGGGUUGCAGUGUUCUGAGGGAGAUGUUGAAGCACCUUUGCCCAGGGAUGUGUUUGGGGAGGAUAUAUGGCCAUGGGUGCCAUGUUGCCAUGCCCUGUUUCCCUGCAGGUGCACCAGGCACCUGAUUUCCACAGAGCUGAACACUGGAGCUCACCGUGACUGGGUUGAAGUGUUCUGAGGGAAAUGUUGAAGCUCCUUUGCCAGGGGUUGUGUCUGGGGAGGAUAUAUGGCCAUGGGUGCCAUGUUGCCAUGCCCAUUCCUGUUUCCCUGCAGGAGGAGGUGCUCCAGGCACCUGAUUUCCCCAGCUCUGAACCACUGGCACUUUUACACAUCACCCUGACUUGGUUGAAGUGUUCUGAGGGAGAUGUGGAAGUUCCUUUGCCCAGGGGAUGUGUCUGGGGGGAUGUUUGGCCAUGGAGUGGGUGCCAUGUUGCCAUGCCAUGUUUCCCUGCUGGAAGAGGUGCACCAGGGCACCUGACUUCCACAGAGCUCAACAAUCAAACUUUUACCAGCUCACCCUGACUUGUUUGAAGUGUUCUGAGGGAAAUGUUGAAGCUCCUUUGCCCAGGGCUGUGUCUGGGGAUAUGUUUGGCCAUGGAUGCCAUGUUCCCAUGCCCAUUCC